UGAGACACGGCCCAGACUCCUGCGGGAGGCAGCAGUGGGGAAUCUUGCGCAAUGGGCGAAAGCCUGACGCAGCGACGCCGCGUGGGGGAUGACGGCCUUCGGGUUGUAAACCUCUUUUACCACUCACGCAGGCCCCGGGUUCUCCCGGGGUUGACGGUAGGUGGGGAAUAAGGACCGGCUAACUACGUGCCAGCAGCCGCGGUAAUACGUAGGGUCCGAGCGUUGUCCGGAUUUAUUGGGCGUAAAGAGCUCGUAGGCGGCGUGUCGCGUCUGCUGUGAAAGCCCGGGGCUUAACUCCGGGUGUGCAGUGGAUACGGGCAUGCUUGAGGUAGGUAGGGGAGACUGGAAUUCCUGGUGUAGCGGUGAAAUGCGCAGAUAUCAGGAGGAACGCCGGUGGCGAAGGCGGGUCUCUGGGCCUUACCUGACGCUGAGGAGCGAAAGCAUGGGGAGCGAACAGGAUUAGAUACCCUGGUAGUCCAUGCCGUAAACGUUGGGCGCUAGGUGUGGGGCCUUUCCACGGGUUCCGUGCCGUAGCUAACGCAUUAAGCGCCCCGCCUGGGGAGUACGGCCGCAAGGCUAAAACUCAAAUGAAUUGACGGGG
RNAcentral lists this ribosomal RNA (601 nucleotides) under uncultured Nocardiopsis sp. Its description in RNAcentral is "bacterial SSU rRNA". It matches the Rfam family "Bacterial small subunit ribosomal RNA", at positions 320 to 918 of the family's 1533-position model. Lineage: Bacteria; Bacillati; Actinomycetota; Actinomycetes; Streptosporangiales; Nocardiopsidaceae. The record is from RNAcentral.